RNAcentral lists this long non-coding RNA (2889 nucleotides) under Cyanistes caeruleus (blue tit). RNAcentral describes it as "lncRNA (ENSCCEG00000005289.1)". The record is from RNAcentral. Lineage: Eukaryota; Metazoa; Chordata; Aves; Passeriformes; Paridae.
UUUUUUUUCCUGUGAAUUUUUAUUUCUGGGAUUUUUUUUCUGGGAAUCUUUCCAGGAAUUUUUUUUCCAGAUUUUUUUUCCCAUUUUUUCCCCCAUUUUUUUUCCUUUUCCAGGCAUUUUUUCCCAGGAAUUUUUCCCAUUUUUCCCCCAUUUCCUUUCCCCCCCAAAUUUUUUAUUUUAUUUUUUUUUUCCUUUUCCAGGCAUUUUUUUUUCUGGGAAUUUUUUCUCCGGGAUUUUUUUUUAUACACAAUUUUCCUCCACCCUGUUUCCUUUUCUUCCAAGAAUUCCACGUUUUUCCCGAGAAUUCCUCCUUUUUUCCUGGGAAUUCCAUGUUUUUUCCUAGGAAUUUCAGUUUUUUCCUGGGAAUUUUGUGGUUUUUUCCAAAAAUUCCACAUUUUUCCCAAAAAUUCUGCGUCUUUUCCUGAGAAAUCUGAGUUUUUCCUGGGAAUUCAAUGAUUUUUCCCAAAAAUUCCACAUUUUCCCAAAAAUUCCACAUUUUUUCCCAAAAAUUCCACAUUUUUCCCAAAAAUUCCACAUUUUUCCCAAAAUUUCCCAAAAAUUCCACAUUUUCCCAAAAAUUCCACAUUUUUUCCCAAAAAUUCCACAUUUUUCCCAAAAAUUCCACAUUUUUCCCAAAAAUUCCACAUUUUUCCCCCAAAAUUCCACAUUUUUUCCCAAAAAUUCCACAUUUUCCCCAAAAAUUCCACAUUUUUCCCCCAAAAUUCCACAUUUUCUCCCAAGAAUUCCAUGUUUUUCCUGGGAACUCUGUAUUUUUUCCUGGGAAUUCCAUGGUUUUUCCCAAGAAUUCCAUAUUUUUUCCUGGGAAUUUCAGGUUUUUUACCAAAAAUUCCACGAUUUUCCCAAAAAUUCUGCGUCUUUUCCUGAGAAAUCCGAGUUUUCCCUGGGAAUUCAAUGGUUUUCCCAAAAAAUUCUGCAUUUUUUCCCAAAAAUUCCACAUUUUCUCCCAAAAAUUCCACAUUUUUUCCCAAAAAAUUCCACAUUUUCCCCAAGAAUUCCACAUUUUUCCCAAAAAUUCCACAUUUUUCCCCAAGAAUUCCAUGUUUUUCCUGGGAACUCCGUAUUUUUUCCUGGGAAUUCCAUGGUUUUUCCCAAGAAUUCCACAUUUUUCCCCGGUAUUUCGCAUUUUUUUCCCAAAAAUUCCUCAUUUUUUUCCAGGAAUUUUGAGUUUUUUCCCCAAAAUUUUCUGUUUUUCCCAAGAAUUCCACAUUUUUUCCCCAAGAAUUCCACAUUUUUUCCAAGGAUUUUUGCAUUUUUUCCCGAAAUUUUCUCUUUUUCCCAAAAAUUCCACAUUUUCUCCCAAAAAUUCCACAUUUUCCCCAGGAAUUCUCUCUUUUCCCCAGGAAUUCUCUCUUUUUCCCAGAAAUUCCACAUUUUCCCCAGAAAUUCUCUCUUUUUCCCCAGGAAUUCUCUCUUUUCUCCCAAGAAAUUCCAUGUUUUCCCAAGAAUUCCACAUUUUUUCCCAAAAAUUCCACAUUUUCCCCAGGAAUUCUCUGUUUUUCCCAGGAAUUCUCUGUUUUCCCCCAAGAAUUCCACAUUUCUUCUCAAGAAUUCCACAUUUUUUCCCAGAAAUUCUCUUUUUUUCUCAGAAAUUCCGCAUUUUUCCCCAAGAAUUCUCUCUUUUUCCCAGAAAUUCUCUGUUUUCUCCCAAAAAUUCCUCACUUUCCCCAGGAAUUCUCUCUUUUUCCCCAGGAAUUCUCUCUUUUCUCCCAAGAAUUUCUCAUUUUUUCCCAGAAAUUCUCUGUUUUUCCCAAAAAUUCCACAUUUUCUCCCAAAAAUUCCACAUUUUUCCCCAGGAAUUCUCUCUUUUUCCCCAGGAAUUCUCUGUUUUUCCCAGGAAUUCUCUGUUUUUUCCCAGAAAUUCCACAUUUUUUCCCAGGAAUUCCACAUUUCUUCUCAAGAAUUCCACGUUUUAUCCCAAAAAUUCCACAUUUCCCCCAGGAAUUCUCUGUUUUUCCCAGGAAUUUUCUGUUUUUCCCAGAAAUUCCACAUUUUCCCCAGGAAUUCUCUCAUUUUCCCCAGGAAUUUUCUGUUUUUCCCAAAAAUACCACAUUUUUUCCCAAAAAUUCCACAUUUUCCCCAGGAAUUCUCUCAUUUUCCCCAGGAAUUCUCUCAUUUUUUCCCAGGAAUUCCACAUUUCUUCUCAAGAAUUCCACGUUUAUAUCCCAAAAAUUCCACAUUUCCCCCAGGAAUUCUGCGUUUUUCUCCAGGAAUUUUCUGUUUUCUCCCAAAAUUCCACAUUUCCCCCAGGAAUUCUCUCAUUUUUCCCAGGAAUUCUCUGUUUUUCCCAAAAAUACCACAUUUUUUCCCAAAAAUUCCACAUUUUUCCCCAGGAAUUCUCUCUUUUUCCCAGGAAUUCUCUCUUUUUCCCAGGAAUUCUCUGUUUUUUCCCAAGAAUUCCACAUUUUUUCCCAAAAAUUCCACAUUUCCCCCAGGAAUUCUCUCUUUUCCCCCAGGAAUUCUCUCUUUUCCCCCAGGAAUUCUCUCUUCUCUCCCAAGAAAUCCCGUAUUUUCCCCAGGAAUUCCGCCUUUUCCCCAGGAAUUAUCCGGACUCGGAGUCGCUGGUGUCGGAGGAGGAGGAGGAAGAGGAAGAGCUGCUCGAGUCCGAGCUGGAGCUGGAGGCGCUGAGCCGCGACGCCGCCGCCGCCGCCGCCGAUUCCGACGGGAAAAGGCGGGAAAUUCAGGGAAUUCCCGGGAAAAUUCCGGGAAAAUUCCCCGGGAAAUUCAGGGAAUUCCCGGGAAAAUUCCGGGAAAAUUCCCCGGGAAAUUCAGGGAAUUCCCGGGAAAAAUCCGGGAAAAUUCCCAGGAAAAUCCUGAGAAAAUCCCCCUGAAAAUUCAGGGAAAUACCCUGGGAAAUUCCCGGGAAAUUCC